This is a non-coding RNA of Shewanella benthica KT99, 117 nucleotides long. NCBI's taxonomy places the organism in Bacteria, Pseudomonadati, Pseudomonadota, Gammaproteobacteria, Alteromonadales, Shewanellaceae. The record is from Rfam.
CCGCCUGCCAAGGGGUGAGACUGUUAUUUUAAUAUACCAGUUUCUGAGAUGUCAGAUGACAAACCCUUUGAACCUGAUCCGGCUAAUACCGGCGUAGGAAUGGGCCAAUAGGUUUGA